This 172-nucleotide unclassified non-coding RNA is filed under the name uncultured Basidiomycota. Its description in RNAcentral is "sequence contains ITS1". Lineage: Eukaryota; Fungi; Basidiomycota. The record is from RNAcentral.
ACGAGUUACAAGUCGGCCGACCGUGCUGGCGGUCACGCAUGUGCACGUCGGUCGCAAACCUCAUCCACACACCUGUGAACGUAUGGCCUUUUGGGUCUCUGACCUGGGGGGCAAACCUUUUUUACCCACUCUUUGUAAAAGAAUGUUCUACGUGUGAUAAACACAAAUGAAA